AGUUUGAUCCUGGCUCAGGAUGAACGCUGGCGGCGUGCCUAACACAUGCAAGUCGAACGGGCGCGGCGUGCGGCAGGGGCCUCGGCCCCUGCGGCGCCGCGCGAGUGGCGGACGGGUGAGUAACGCGUGGGCAACCUGCCCUGUACUGGGGGAUAACACCUGGAAAUAGGUGCUAAUACCGCAUAAGCGCGGCGUGCCGCAUGGCAUGGCGCGGAAAACCCCGGUGGUACAGGAUGGGCCCGCGUCUGAUUAGCUGGUUGGCAGGGUAACGGCCUACCAAGGCGACGAUCAGUAGCCGGCCUGAGAGGGUGGACGGCCACACUGGGACUGAGACACGGCCCAGACUCCUACGGGAGGCAGCAGUGGGGAAUAUUGCACAAUGGGGGAAACCCUGAUGCAGCAACGCCGCGUGAGUGAAGAAGUCAUUCGUGAUGUAAAGCUCUAUCAGCAGGGAAGAAAAUGACGGUACCUGAGUAAGAAGCCCCGGCUAACUACGUG
This 498-nucleotide ribosomal RNA is filed under the name uncultured Eubacteriales bacterium. RNAcentral's name for it is "bacterial SSU rRNA". It matches the Rfam family "Bacterial small subunit ribosomal RNA", at positions 10 to 507 of the family's 1533-position model. The record is from RNAcentral. Lineage: Bacteria; Bacillati; Bacillota; Clostridia; Eubacteriales.